Molecule: ribosomal RNA, 856 nt
Filed under: Triticum aestivum (bread wheat)
Lineage: Eukaryota; Viridiplantae; Streptophyta; Magnoliopsida; Poales; Poaceae
Description: partial small subunit ribosomal RNA
Source: RNAcentral
CGCGUCUGAACACACCCUGCGCACAUGACUCGUGUCCAGCAGCACCACGCACCGCUGCCUCCAUACGACCUUAUCUUCUUGCCUGGUCGUCUUUCCCGAUCCCCAUUCCAUCGUUCUUCCCCUUGCGCCGUCUGUGCCACCAUUUAUCUCUCAAUCGCCGCUCCUCCUUCAACAACACCAUGCCUAAUAGGCUCGCCUCUCUCGCGGCCCGGCCGCUGGAGCUCGCCAUGCUCUUCUGCGAGAGGGGGAGAUGACAGUGCUGGAAGGCGACAGCCACCAUGGUUGCGGGACGAUGGCAGUUUCCGGCGGCGGCGCUGCGGGAUGUUGCAAGGCGGCGACGGGCCACGGCGAGAGGCGUGCUAUGACAGCGUCGACAACCGCGGAGGUGCCGCGAGGCUGCGGUGAUGCUUCAAUUUCCGUGGCUACGCUCGGUGGUGAGCUGCGCUCCAAGGGGGGCCGCCGGUCCUACGACGACCUGCCGGUGGCUGCGCUGCUACGAGGCCGGCCUGGUGAUUUCCCAACUCUAUUUUCUUGAUUGCUCCGAUCUGCACCGACAAGCGGUCCUGCCGAGGUCGUCCGAUGUACGGCUAAUGUGAGGCCACUGGAGCUGCAGGACUGGCACGGGACGCACGGCUGCUGCCGGGACGACAACAAACGGGGCAGCGACGCCUGGGCCUCGGCCUUUUUUUUGGUUCCUUCCUCGCUGGUACCAGGAUACCAGCUGUGUCUUAGUGUCUCUCUUCUCCUGAGCUGGGCAUGUACGCAGAUGUUGUUGUUUUCUCUUUAAUUGCUCGUAUGUGAUCUUCCUCCGAGAUGUUUUUGUCUUUGCGGCAGGUCUUCCCACAUUCUUGUUUGA